This 484-nucleotide ribosomal RNA is filed under the name uncultured bacterium. RNAcentral describes it as "bacterial SSU rRNA". It matches the Rfam family "Bacterial small subunit ribosomal RNA", at positions 28 to 524 of the family's 1533-position model. The record is from RNAcentral.
GAUGAACGCUAGCGGCAGGCCUAAUACAUGCAAGUCAAGGGGCCCCGAGCAAUCGGGGCACCGGCGGACGGGUGCGUAACGCGUACACAACGUGCCCAAGGGCGGGGGAAAGCGGCGGGAAACUGCCGGUAAUACCCCAUGGUGUUGGAGGGUGGCAUCACUUUUCAACUAAAGUACAAGCGCCCUUGGAUCGGUGUGCGUCCGAUUAGCUAGUUGGCGGGUAACGGCUCACCAAGGCUUCGACGGGUAGCGGUCUGAGAGGACGAUCAGCCACACUGGCACUGCGACACGGGCCAGACUCCUACGGGAGGCAGCAGUAAGGAAUAUUGCGCAAUGGGCGAAAGCCUGACGCAGCGACGCCGCGUGGGGGAUGAAGGUCUUCGGAUUGUAAACCCCUUUCGGGAGGGAAGAUGGAACGAGCAAUCGUUCGGACGGUACCUCCAGAAGCAGCCACGGCUAACUUCGUGCCAGCCGCCGCAGUAAU